CUACGGGUUGCAGCAGUUAGGGAUAUUCGGCAAUGGGGGAAACCCUGACCGAGCAAUGCCGCGUGAAUGAAGAAGUAUUUCGAUAUGUAAAGUUCUGUUGUUAAGGAAGAAAGGUACGAAUAGGAAAUGAUUCGUAAUUGACGGUACUUAACCAGAAAGCCCCUGCUAACUACGUGCCAGCAGCAGCGGUAAUACGUAGGGGGCGAGCGUUAUCCGGAAUUAUUGGGCGUAAAGGGUGCGUAGGCGGCCUGUCAAGUCCGAGUUGAAAGCCCACGGCUUAACCGUGGAGGGUGCUCGGAAACUGAUAGGCUUGAAUCCAGAAGAGGCAAGUGGAAUUCUAUGUGGAGCGGUGGAAUGCGUAGAUAUAUGGAGGAACACCAGUGGCGAAGGCGGCUUGCUGGGCUGCUAUUGACGCUGAUGCACGAAAGCGUGGGGAGCAAACAGGAUUAGAUACCCCUGUAGUC
RNAcentral lists this ribosomal RNA (464 nucleotides) under uncultured bacterium. RNAcentral describes it as "partial 16S ribosomal RNA". It matches the Rfam family "Bacterial small subunit ribosomal RNA", at positions 339 to 795 of the family's 1533-position model. The record is from RNAcentral.